This 7381-nucleotide long non-coding RNA is filed under the name Nicotiana tabacum (common tobacco). Its description in RNAcentral is "long non-coding RNA (NTAB_LNC003057)". Lineage: Eukaryota; Viridiplantae; Streptophyta; Magnoliopsida; Solanales; Solanaceae. The record is from RNAcentral.
GCUCCCCUUCAUUCGUGCAUUUUAACUAGCCCAAACAUCGCUAACCCUAGAUCAUUCUCUCACCACCCAGCUGCCCUCAUUUACCUUUCCUUUGUCUUUUCUCUCUUCCCAUCAGAACCUUGUUAAUCAAAAACCUUUCACAAAUAUGUGCAAGGUCACAGAUUCCACCUCAAAUCGUUCAAUUUGUCCCUAUAUCCGUGAAUUCAACUGAUUCACUUCAGUUUUAAUUGUUUUAAAUACAGAGCAUGUAUGGCUAUUUAUCUCUAAUUUCAUCAUUUUUAUUCAAUGCCAAGAGGUCAAAUACAAUCACCUAUAGAUAUUAGGGUUUGAUCGAUGGUCCAAUUGCCUCAAUGGUUGACCUCCUCGUGUCUAGGUAAAAUCUUCACUGCUUUCCCUUAUUUUCUUCUGAUUUUCACCUUCUACUGCUAUCAUCAUCCAUUUAUCGUCACCAUCCACUAUCGAUCUAAACCUAUCAAAGCUCUAAGUGGCUUGAAUGCCACUAUAAAUAGAGCACUCGAUGUCUUCACCUAACAUACACAAAAAACAUGAAUAGUAUCAAUACACACUAGAAAAGAUUAAAAGUUUUAUUUUUUUGGCUAAAGUUUGAAUCCCACUAGUUCUCUCCUCUAAUAUCUCUUCUUUUUUUGUGAGUUCAAUCUCUGAGAGUUGGUUGUUGUUGGUUCGACUUACUCCUACUUUGUUUGCUGCCCUACGGAAGGUUAGUACAUACUGACCCCCUCUCUCUUUGAAUUAAUGUUUUGGUUUUAUGUUCUUAAUGACUUCAUAGUUGAUUCCAUGAUUGUUCAUAUUAAAUAUUAAAGUUGUUCUUGUCAUGUCUUCCCUUUACAUGUUAUUUUCAUUGUUGAAUUAGGGAUUAAGUUAAUUCGUAUUGAAGCUGCUAUCAAAUCCGUGCUAAUGAAUCCUAUCUUUCAUGAUUAAAAUAGUGAAAAUGACCCUAGGCUAAGUGAUAUUCUUAUGACUAAAUUUACUAAGCCUCUAUGAUUAAGCGAAGUUAACUUUUGUGCUAAUUUUGGGCAUAAUCUAUCUCUGUUAGUCGAACAAUAAGAUUAGGUCAGCUAGGAUAACUGAAACCAAGCUCUUGAACUUCUUUUUUGUGUUUCUGUACCUCUAGUUUACUUGACCGUCCUACUUGUGGCAUUAUGUUGAUCUUAUAAAACUCCCUGUAUUUCAUGUCUUGCAUUCAACAUGUCUACCUUAACAGUCUUAGUUGAUAAAUGUGAUAACCUGCCCAUCUUGUGUAUUUAAUAAUCCAUGUACACCUGUUACUCUUAGAUCCUAUUAACGCUUCGUGAUUAAUUAAGUCUUGUGAUGAAAAUAUUAUAGGUGAUUUGUUAGUCCAAUAAUUGGUCUUUUGAAUGGCGUCAUAAAAAUCAAAUAGAAUAAAAUAAAAUCUUUUUAAAUCUUCUCUUGAAGACAAUGUUAACACUUGCCCACAUUAAGACAUCUUGAUACCUGUGGUAUUCUGUUUUCUGAUUUAGUUUCUACCCUCAUGCUAACAUGCUUGACUCUGGUUAACAGCAUGUUCAUAUCACAAUGUGAUAGACUGAUUUCUGAAUGCCUCUUGUGAUGACUGAAAACUAAGAAAAACAUGUAAUGAACCCUGGUAAAGUGUGUUAGGAAGCAUGUUCUCUACUUGUUGAGAUCGAUCCAUGUAGUGAUCUUAGAACUUACCCUCUCAUGACUGUUUGAGUUUUGUGAGACUUCUGAUGUUAUGUUGAUAACCUUUUGAACCUGAGUUCACAUCUGUCAUUGUUAAUUUGGCUAUGUUCACAGACUAUCACAUGACUUUAGUUUGGGGGAUUGUAUGUUUGCACCUAUGUGUCAACUCUCCACCUGUCAUUAUUCCGACCUUGCUAUGAUGAUGUACUAGUUUGAAUUUGUGAAAUAUUUCCCAUUAAGACACUUGUUCCUAAUGCAUAUGAUGACAUGUUCUAUAACUCUAGUUGUAAUGCUUAACAGUGACUUUACACUAUCCUGAUUCUUACAUGUUUGUCAUGUUAACAUGUAUACAAAUCAUGUAUUGAAUUUUGUUGAUAUUCUAUGCUAGUGACAUGUUUGCCUUGUCAAGUUAAAGUGAAUGUCAUUCAACUACUAAGCAUGAUCUUGACUACGGUGAAGCCUUUUAAAAGUGCAUGUGCACUGAUCUUAUAGUCUGAACCUACAUAAGGGAACUCUAAGCAUCAAACCUACAGUGAAGCCAAUAGAACAUGUACCUGAGCUCCUCUCAGUAUAGUACUUGCUUGUUAAAAUUAUUAAGCCUAAAGACAUGAUUAAUGAAGCAUGCCUAUUACUUGCACUUUGUGAUCUUGUGUGAUUAUGUCCCAAUAGUGACUCAUGUAUACUGUAGUGUCAUGUUCUUACUUCUUAUCCUCUAUGCUUUAUGGGGUUCUCUUAAGUCAAUGUUGUGCUUUGGUUUGUUCACUAUACCCUGAUGGUGAACCACAACAUUUUAGUUGUUCAAAGUUGUUGGGUUUCUGUAUGUUUGAACCCUUAGAGGGUUAAUCAUGACUUCUACAUCAACUAUUGAUGUCUUGACAAUAUGAAAUUACUCUGUUACUCCUUUUAUUUGUGUUUAAACCUUUGAGGAAGAUUAGUAGUGGGUGGCUAAGAGUAUAUAGAUGUGAAAACUCGUUGUGGUUAUGAUAACUCUACUUGACACAAGUACUGCUCGGGGUACAUGAGACCCUCAUGAACUCUGAAGUGCCAAGGGUUCACAAAGAGGGAUCAUAUCCAUAAAUGAUAAUUUCUGCCAAUCCUUUAUUAACUCUUUUUAAUCCUCACAGGAUUAACAUAAAAUAAAAUAUGUCUCAUUACAUUCUUUAGUUCUUUAUCAUUAUAAUUUUUAUCAUAUUUAGCUUUUAUAAUUUAUAUACAUUAAUUAUCCCAUGUUUUUUAUCUACAUGAAUUCAAUUUGGUCAUGUUGAGACCAUUUGGAGUUCAUGUCCCCUUUCCAUAUUUAGGUCAUCACAUUCCUGUCAAAUUCGCCGCUCGUGCACAUUAUAUUGGACCUGAUUAUUUGUUGGCCCAUAUCGAGAGUCCAGUUCUCCUUCCUCUGCUCACUUUAGAUCUUUUAAUGUUUAAUCAUUGAUUAAUUUCCAAAUUUAUCUUUUCAAUAAAUGAAAGGCCUUAUCUUGUUGUCACUUACUCUUUUUAAUAAGUUCAGACUUUUGAAAGUUGCAAAAAUGAAAGCAGACUCUCUUUGGGAAAUCAAAUCGUGAAAAUAAUUUAAGAAAGCUGUUUUCAAGAAGUAAAAGCCAAACUCAACCACAUUUACAAAAUGAUGAUUUUCAACGAGUUUUAAAUAUGAGUUUCCAUUGAAAAUUGGGUUACAAAUAAGGCACGCUCAUUCCAACUUGAGAUAUAUUUUCUUAUUCUACUAAGUCAUAAAUGGAUGACACCCUUUUAAAAUCUUAUACUCAAAGAAAGAAUUUUUACAAGGUCCUUAUCGAAUACUUUUUAUAUACACAACCUUCUUAUAGUUGUAAUUUUCAGAAGAAUAUAUAAUACUUUUCACACGUUGAAUACCAGCUAAGCAGAAUGUAGACAUUUCUUUCUCCAAACCUAGCCUAAGCCUAAGGAGAUACCUCAGAUAGAUUUUGUGGGGUGCCAAAAAACAUCCCCUUCGAAUAUAACCUUACAUCCCCUUAGCAUACCAUUAGGAUAAUAACCUUAAAACCCCAUAGGUACCAAAAUAUACCUAAAACUAUUAGGUGCGACUCACUUUUUAUCAACUUUAGAAAAACCAUCAGUUGUAUUUUGCUCUGACUAGUGCAAAAUAGUAUGCAACAACAUGGAGACUCUUCUAGGGAUGUUUUACACUUUUGUUCUCACCUUAGCAGAUUUAGGCUAGACGUUAACUUUGGGAAUGUUUUGUUAUAUUAUGCUUCAACUAUGCUUAACCUGCAAAUAUGUGAUUACUCGCUUUAUUCUAUUUGUUUACACUUUCAACAUGCUAAAACAUACUUAUUUGUUUACUUAUAUUACUGUUUUACUACAAUUAUCUUGUAAGACCCCGAAAAAUUUUGAAGUACUUGAGCGCUAGUAAGAAAGUUGAUGUGCGCUAAUUAUAUUAUUUUGUGUGCAUACAAGGUCUAUUAUAAGAAUUAUAUCAAUUGAUCAUGAUAAUAUAUGUAUGAGGUGCAUUAAGAAUGGUUUAUGGUCUAAGAAAAUCCCCAAGGCUAAGUCAAGUUAAAACUUUUGUGAUGGGAUAAAGUUUCAAGUGAGUUCGUAUAAGACCUAACUUCAAAGGUGUAUACCUCUCUUGAUAUAAAGAGUUAUAUUGUAUAUUACCUAUCUAAAGAAAGGUCUAUGUGUCUAGUUUCCAACGCUUCAAACCGUUCAUCAUUUGGGCAAUCCUACCAGUAGUUAUGACCAAAUUACUAAAGGCUAGAUCUGCAAUCAAUUCCGUGACUGCAUAACGGUUUCGCGGACUGCAUAAGCAUCGCAAAGUGGAGCAGAGACGGACAAACUAGUAUGCUGCAAUUAUGCUGUCGCAUAAUUGAUUAUGCUGCAAGUCUGCUGCCCACAAAACGAUUAUGCCAUAGCAUAAUUGCACCAUAUAACUGACUUCGGGUGUCAUUUUUUGGAAAUUUUUAUAUCCGAUCCAAUUUUGAUAUAAGGCCUUAGGGGGUCAUUUUAAAAGGUAAAAUGUGAUUUUGUAGAGAGAGGAGAGAGCUAUCUUAUAGAGAGAAAGAGAAGACCUAGCUACUUUGUUCAUCAAUUCUUGCUCAAGGCUUGAAGAUUUCACAAGAUCUUCAUCUAAUAGGUAAGAUUCUACUCCCUAGCCCUAAAUUUCGGUAUUUUGAUUAAAAGUAGGUCAUGAGAAGUAUGAUUCUUGGGUGUGAGAGUAUUAUGCAUACAUAUAUGUACCAAUAAGGUUUGUGGGGAGAUUGUUGAGCUUAAAUAAGUAAAGAUUGAGUAGUGGAAUGAAGGAUAUCUUGUAGAAGAACCUGUAGUUAAAUUUGCACACCUAGUAUUUGAUAAAAUGCUCAAAUGGGCUAAGAUCAUGAAUAUCUUCCUAAUAAUGGUUCAGUUUUGUUAUGUCUCAAAAUAGAUUGGGAUUGCUCGAAUUUUCGUAACGUUGUAAUUUUAGGAAAGCUCAAAGCAAGGUAUGUUGGCUAAAUUACUCUCUUAGAAUUGAAUUCAAUGAUGUUCUCAUAAGUUUCAAGUAUGGUUGUCUCAAGUUCCUUAUUCUAUAUUCUGAGUUAUUCCCAAUAAAUUCGAUUGUCCCGAAUAAGUAAAGUGUCGAUAAUUAAGUACUCAAAACGUGUUCCAAAUGUUCCUAACACAUUAUGUUAUCCUUUGGGAAUGUGUUCAAGAAUGAUAUGUGUAUUAAAAUGCUAUAUCUUUGAGUUGUGUUUCAAAUGAAGGUUAUGAUUCCAAAUUGUGUGAGAAAACUCAAUAUGCUUAAAACUCUUAAUUGCUCAUAUGUGUACCUAAAGCCUUGAUUGAAAAUGUCUUAUUGUUGAUAACCUCUAAAGAUGUGAAAGAAGUAUGAAAUGCGAUGAUUGAUAUAAGUGAAAGUUAUACUUGUGGCCAAUGAUGCCAAUGGAAUUAAAAGAUGUGAAAGAAGUAUGAAAUGCGAUGAUUGAUAUAAGUGAAAGUUAUACUUAUGGCCAAUGGAGCCAAUGAAAUGAAAUGAUAUGAGAAAGGUUAUGAAAUAAGCCUUGAUUCAACUAUUCCAAAUUGACUACGAAAAUAGAAUUGCCUAAAAGCUUAUGAACUCAAGUCAUGCACAUAUGUGGUUGUUCUAACAAAUGCUAUGCUUUGUGAGUAUUUUUAAUGUGUUUUGCAUUCUUACAUAUUCGUGAGUAAAAAUUUUGUAUUGCCCUUUUUGGGGAAAAGUAUGUCAAGAAUAAAUUGUGUGUUAUUUGUUGAUGAUUUUAACUUGCGCAUCAAUUGCCAAUCAUUUUACUCCAUUUCUCGGAAAGAAAUCUAUUGUGCUUAAAUUGUUCAUUUCUAAUGAACUUAAAGUUGUGAUUUCCGGAAUAUUAUAUGUAUGUUUAUAUUUAUGACGAUUAUACAUGAGAGGGAAGAAAUGAAAGUAUGGAAUAUCAAAUAAGGCCAUCGCGCCUUGAAUAAAGAAUCUUGUGAAUGGCCAAAAGAGUCAAGGAAAUAUUGUUGUUGUUAUUGGUUGAAAAUUUCUAGUGGAGAUUUAUACAAUGUGAAAGAUGAUGAGGUAAAUACAUUUGCACCUAUGUUAUUUUUGUGAAUUAUUCCCCUUAUUUGGGAUGAGAUUGAUGUGAUAAAAUUAUUCCUCUUAAUUGGGAUGAGAUUGAUUAAUAUAAAAGGGUUGAUGUAUCGAAGAAGACGGCCUAGCCGAUCGGGUCGUGAUCGAACACCAUGUCGCACACAUGGUGGUGAUUAAGCUAGAAAUUGUAAUUGAAUUUGAGAUUUUGGUUGAUGUCUUCAAAUAAGACAGCCUAGCCGAUCGGGUCAUGAUCGGACUUCGUGCUAAAAUUACGGUGGCAUUGGUAUUGAUAGUGAUUGAGGUUGAUUCUCUAAUGAGAUAGCCUAGCCGAUCGGGUCGUGAUCGGACUCCGUGCCAAAAGUACGGUGGCAUUGGUAUUGAUAGUAAUUGUGGUUGAUUCUCUAUUGAGAUAGUCUAGUCGAUCGGGUAGUGAUCGGACUCCGUGCUAAAAGUACGGUGGCAUUGGUAUUAUGAACAUUGGUAUUGUGAACCUUGGUAUUGUGAACAUCGGUAUUGUGAACAUUGAUAUUGUGAACAUCGGUAUUGUGAAUACUGGUAUUGUGAAUAUAUGUAUUGUGAACAUUGGUAUUGUGAACAGUGGUAUAUCUGUGCUAAAGACCUCCCAACCAAAAAUAAUAUUAUCAUCAUNNNNNNNNNNNNNNNNNNNNNNNNNGAUUGUGACUUGUUGUUUCUAUGGAUUUUCCCUUCUUACAUUGGUAUUCUAUUUUGAAAGAGGACAGUUAGCUUUACAUACUAGUACUAUUCCAUAUGUACUAAUGUCCCUUUUUCCGGGGGCACUGCAUCUUUAAUGGAUGCAGGUGAUUCAUCAGCAGUGCAACUUGGGUCCUCGUUAGUAGUUACUCCCUAUUCAGCAGGUUUUGGUGCGCCCUAUUCUAUUCCGGGCCCGAUGUCACUUGAUGUAACACUUUGUAUCUUGAGGUAUAGCCGGGGCAUUGUUGCCUGCACUUCCAUACUAUUCUUCUGUCAUAUUUAGAGGCUACGUAGACAGGUUAUGGGUGAUGUAUGAUGUUGGAAAUUGAAUUAGAAAUGUUGCUAUUUGUAAAACAUAUUUUCCAUUAUACCUAUAAACUUGUAAUACUUUGGAAAUUAUGAACGAAGUUGCUAAUGGAAUGAAUGGGAGUUGUUAAUAAAAUAUUUUUAGUGUUUGAU